RNAcentral lists this long non-coding RNA (2909 nucleotides) under Citrus x clementina. RNAcentral's name for it is "Citrus clementina (C. clementina) long non-coding RNA (CCLE_LNC003087)". The record is from RNAcentral. Lineage: Eukaryota; Viridiplantae; Streptophyta; Magnoliopsida; Sapindales; Rutaceae.
UCAUUCAAAUUUCAACCAAAUUCAAAUCUAUUUGAACUUCAAAUAAAAAAUAACCAUUACCUAAAUUGUGACUCAGUGUCAGAAAUUUUUAAUAUUAUUUAUACAGAUACUCUUAUACACUUGUACAAUUGAAAGGGUGAAACUCAGUCUCCCAACGUCGGGAGAAUAGACUCGUGAGCCAGCAACUACCUCACUCCGGAGUAAUUGGCCUAAACAUAAGGACUUGAACGAUAUAUGUUUCAAGUAUGUGAUCUCUUUUAUAUUUUUUGAGAAAUCAGAGGACCUCGUAAGAAAAAUCCGGGUCCAAAUCAAGCCAUCAUUUUUGGUCGCACUAACUUUCUCCUUAUUUACAAAAUCACAUUCCGUUUCCAGAGCUGUCAAUGGGUCGGUCCAAAAAAAUUAACAAUUUUAAAAUUCGAAAGUACACAAUGAUUUGGACAGUGUCGAUUUUAUUAUAUUUUUAAGCUCACUUUUUCUUUCCCUUUUUUUUUAUUUGCAAAGCCUUAAAGCCUGUGGAGGAUUAGUUGCUAAGGGUUAGUUUUUACUGGCUCAUAUAUAUAUAUAUAUAUAUAUUUUAAUUAAUGUAUUAUAGAUAUAAUAUAUUAGUUUUUUUAUUUUAUUAUUUAGUCCAAGUCCAACUAAUCUCUUUUUCACUGAUUUGAUUCCAAUUUCAUAUUAUCUUAUUUUUAACAUAAUAAGUUUUACUAUUUCAAUUAAAUGAUUUACAUAAUUAUAAGUUUAAAUUGACUGCCACUGGCACUGUAUAUUCAAUAAUUAUUUACUCACAUGGCUUUUGUUUGCUCUUUGUAUUUCUAUGCCAAAAAAGAAAAGAAAAAAAAAAGUUGAAAACAUUGAUGGGUCUUUAAUAGCUCUUUAUUAUUGUACACACAAGUCAGAAAAUGAAAUUUGAGUUUAUUAAAAGCAAGUCUCAGUCACAUUUGGACAUUAUUACAUUCGCAUUGAUUCAAUAAUACUCGUAAAGUUGAAAUCAAAGCAUGUAAUAUGCAACCUUUAGGGCAUUACAUUGAAUGUUGACUUACAUCAUGACCCGUAAUUAUCAAAUUAAGCAUGCUCUAUGUGUAGGACCAAUGUCUUAUCUGAUCUUAUUGUUAAAAACUUUCCCAAAAUGUGCUUUGAACAAUACAAUUUACAUGUUUAGAAAACCACAGGGUUCAUACAAUGAGUCAUGGAAAUUGCACAACAGAAUGAAAAUCGUCCGAAUAAAUGGUAAAAAAAAAAAAAAAAUAGAGAAUCCAUUCUAUCUUAAGUAUGUAAUAAAAAAUGGAGUAUUCAACAAUAGAUUUACUACAAAUUAAUGUAGCACAUGAUCAUGAGUGCAACAACUUGUGUUCUCUUUUACAGGCAUUGUUUUCUUCGAAAGAAUGAUGGUACGUUGUGCUGUGGGACUCAGCACAACAUUACAACUAAUGCACCAUUCACAAUCCCACUUCAUUUUUUUUUCCCUCAGUUUCUAUAAAUUAAAAUAUAUUUUAUUAUUUUUGUAUACCCAUGAAAUAUUAUAAUAAUUAAAGUUAUACGUUAUUAAUGAAAACAAAAUUGUUUAUGAGAUGUAAGUGUAAUCAAUUCAUUAAACUCUCGGCACAGAGAAAUUCAUAACCAAAAUGAGAUACCUUUUGUUUCGAGUAAUCUCUUUAUUUGAAGAGUAUAAUUUUAUUCACAUUUUAAUGAAAUUACAUGAAAAAUGAUAAAAUUCAAUCUGAAGUGGUGGCGAAGUGGUGAGCUCAACAUAAUUUAGCGCACUAAACGAAGAUAUUUUUGUUGGAGAAAAUUGAUAAAUUUGAUUUUUGUAAGCAAAGGAGAAAUCUGUUAUUAGGGAACUAGAAACUCUCAUAAUCUCCAAAUUUGGGUGGAAGGGGGCCUCUUAAAAAGGUCAUUGCCUUUUUCUGAAUUCGGAAGAGAGGAUUGGGCCAUUAUUCACAUACAGAUUCGGAUCAUCACACGUGUCGCGUUUUAUAUGGCCUUUUUCUUCAUUGUGUUUGUGUUUCGGGGAAAAAUCUUCAUGCCUUUUCCUGUCGAUGGGAGUUCAGAACUUAACCCACCUUCGCUAUAUGCGCUGAUGCUCAACUCAAAACACAUAAAAAAAUAUAUAUAUAUAAUAAUAAUAACGAAAAAAAACAAAUAUAUAUAUAUAUAUAUAUAUAGAGAGAGAGAGAGAGAGAGAGAGAGAGAGAGAGAGAGAUUAAAUAUAGAUCAGUAAGACAGCAAGUCAGCAACUGUCGAGUAAUAUUCAAUUUUUGCAUCCAACUUUGCGGGUUGUGUUCAAAAUGAGUUUGUUUGGAAGAUCUGACACGAGUGGACCGAGCUCAUUGGGCUCAAUGAUAGAAAAGCCCAUAUCAACCUUUUACUUUGAGGCUUUACCGAACCAACACCAAACGGAUAUUAUACAUUAUUAUUAUUUUUUAAAUCACGGCCAAUAGUAUAUAUAUAGAAUACUUAAAAAUAAAAAGAAAAAUCGAAAUUUAUAAUUCUCUCGGCUUUUAUUUACAUAUAAAAAUUUCCGAGUUAUACAGCAUUGUCGGUUUGAUCUCUUUUUGGAACUAUAAUAAUUCUUCCUUGGCAAACCAAUAAAUAAAAACGAGUAAAACUUAUUAUAAAACUGCUUACUCAUGGCCCCAUGAUUCAUCAUCUAGUGAGAUUCUUCUAAGCAGUUGGAUCUAAAAUCUUAGCUAAAGAGCAAAUAUUAUAAUACAUAACAUGGCUUAAAAAUUAGAAGAGACAAGCAGAAAAGGUUUGUCCAUUUUUUAACAAAUGUCUAUCUGACAUCACUGAGGGAGAGUCGGUAGCUUACCCUGUCAUGGCUCUUUAAUUAUACAUAUAUUAAUUAACUCUUCUCAGUUCCAUGCAUAUAUUACUACUAUUGCUCCGGAGAGGCUGUUGAAUAAGACUCA